UAUCUGAUAUCGUCAUAUUGAAUGAUACGCAGUAAAAAUUUUAAAAACGUGUGGCAAGUUGUACAAAACGGGGAAACUGGUUAAUUGGGGUUCGAUAAACAGACUGCAGCACCCUUUUGCACUUUGACAAAUACCAGCCAUUAUGACUGGUAUUGGUAUAAGUAACUUUGAUAUAAAAUUAUUUUCAGUUUGAAUAUAUAAAAACAAAAUAAAAUUCAUUAUAUUAUUCUUCUAGUUAUCGUUGCGAAAGUCAUUACAUCAUUGUAGAAAAAAAAUAUAACAUGAAGUAGGAAUUUUAAAAUAAAAUUGUAAAACCAGUCAAUUUGACUGGCGUGGUAGUUCUAAUUUUAAACGCAAUCAAACUCGCCACAUUCUCUUCCUCCGUGUUUCUGCCAACAGUUGCAGGCGUUGAUAUUUUCAUACUAUCCAAUCACGUUCCUCCACUUCUCUACCCUCUUUCAACCUUCGAUGAUCGUAUAAAAAAAGAAAGGAGAAGAUCAGAUGAAAAAAGUGAAUCUGCGACGGUGAUGGAACAAUGCCUGGCACAGAUAGUAAUAUACGGUGGUGCAGAAAAACAAAGGACA
RNAcentral lists this unclassified non-coding RNA (584 nucleotides) under Bombus terrestris (buff-tailed bumblebee). RNAcentral's name for it is "misc RNA ENSBTSG00005030802.1". The record is from RNAcentral. Lineage: Eukaryota; Metazoa; Arthropoda; Insecta; Hymenoptera; Apidae.